This 1698-nucleotide ribosomal RNA is filed under the name marine metagenome. RNAcentral's name for it is "bacterial LSU rRNA". It matches the Rfam family "Bacterial large subunit ribosomal RNA", at positions 1144 to 2925 of the family's 2925-position model. The record is from RNAcentral.
UCUAAUUAAGUUGUCCUGCGGCGAAGAUGUAACGGGGCUCAAGCCAUGAGCCGAAACUUCGGAUGCAUUUAUGCAUGGUAGCGGAGCGUAGUGUGACAUAGUUCCAUGCGUCUUUAACUUCCUUCGGGGAGUAUUGGACGCAAGGAGCUUUCUGUGAAGCCGGCCUGUGAGGGAUCCGGUGGAGAGAUCACUAGUGAGAAUGAUGACAUGAGUAGCGACAAAGGGAGUGAGAGACUCCCUCGCCGAAAAUCCAAGGGUUCCUGCUUAAAGCUAAUCUGAGCAGGGUGAGCCGACCCCUAAGGCGAGGCCGAAAGGCGUAGUCGAUGGGAACCAGGUUAAUAUUCCUGGGCCAGAUGGAAGUGACGGAUCUCGAGGGUAGUUCAUCCUUAUCGGAUUGAAUGGGCUGCUUAGAGGUUCCUGGAAAUAGCUCCAUCGCUAGAUCGUACCCUAAACCGACACAGGUGGACUGGUAGAGAAUACCAAGGCGCUUGAGAGAACUAUGUUGAAGGAACUCGGCAAAAUACCUCCGUAAGUUCGCGAGAAGGAGGCCCGGUUUCUAGGCAACUGGAAGCUGGGGGCACAAACCAGGGGGUGGCGACUGUUUACUAAAAACACAGGGCUCUGCGAAGUCGUAAGACGACGUAUAGGGUCUGACGCCUGCCCGGUGCCUGAAGGUUAAAAGGAGGGGUGAGAGCUCCGAAUUGAAGCCCAGGUAAACGGCGGCCGUAACUAUAACGGUCCUAAGGUAGCGAAAUUCCUUGUCGGGUAAGUUCCGACCUGCACGAAUGGCGUAACGACUUCCCCGCUGUCUCCAACAUAGACUCAGUGAAAUUGAAUUGCCUGUCAAGAUGCAGGCUUCCCGCGGUUAGACGGAAAGACCCCGUGCACCUUUACUACAACUUUACACUGAUAACAGGCACAAUAUGUGCAGAAUAGGUGGUAGGCUUUGAAGCAGGGACGCCAGUCCUUGUGGAGCCUCCUUUGAGAUACCACCCUUAUUUUUCUUGUUAUCUAACUGCGGUCCGUUAUCCGGAUCCAGGACCCUGUAUGGUGGGUAGUUUGACUGGGGCGGUCGCCUCCUAAAGCGUAACGGAGGCGCGCGAAGGUUGGCUCAGAGCGGUCGGAAAUCGCUCGUUGAGUGCAAUGGCAGAAGCCAGCCUGACUGCGAGACUGACAAGUCGAGCAGAGUCGAAAGACGGCCAUAGUGAUCCGGUGGUCCCGAGUGGAAGGGCCAUCGCUCAACGGAUAAAAGGUACGCCGGGGAUAACAGGCUGAUACUGCCCAAGAGUCCAUAUCGACGGCAGUGUUUGGCACCUCGAUGUCGGCUCAUCUCAUCCUGGGGCUGGAGCAGGUCCCAAGGGUACGGCUGUUCGCCGUUUAAAGAGGUACGUGAGCUGGGUUUAGAACGUCGUGAGACAGUUCGGUCCCUAUCUGCCGUGGGUGUAGGAUACUUGAGAGGAGUUGCCCCUAGUACGAGAGGACCGGGGUGAACGAUCCACUGGUGGACCAGUUGUCGACUACGGCAGUGCUGGGUAGCUAUGAUCGGACAGGAUAACCGCUGAAAGCAUCUAAGCGGGAAGCCCCCCUCAAAACAAGGUAUCCCUGAGGACCGAGGUAGACCACCUCGUCGAUAGGCCAGAGGUGUAAGCGUGGUAACACGUUCAGCUGACUGGUACUAAUGGUCCGAUAGGCUUGAUU